Molecule: ribosomal RNA, 1177 nt
Filed under: Staphylococcus aureus
Lineage: Bacteria; Bacillati; Bacillota; Bacilli; Caryophanales; Staphylococcaceae
Description: bacterial SSU rRNA
Rfam family: Bacterial small subunit ribosomal RNA
Source: RNAcentral
UCAGGAUGAACGCGGGCGGCGUGCCUAUACAUGCAAGUCGAGCGAACGGACGAGAAGCUUGCUUCUCUGAUGUUAGCGGCGGACGGGUGAGUAACACGUGGAUAACCUACCUAUAAGACUGGGAUAACUUCGGGAAGGAGCUAAUACCGGAUAAUAUUUUGAACCGCAUGGUUCAAAAGUGAAAGACGGUCUUGCUGUCACUUUAGAUGGACCGCGCUGCAUUAGCUAGUUGGUAAGGUAACGGCUUACCAAGGCAACGAUGCAUAGCCGACUGGAGGGUGAUCGGCCACACUGGAACUGAGACACGGUCCAGACUCCUACGGGAGGCAGCAGUAGGGAACUUCGCAAUGGGCGAAAGCCUGACGGAGCAACGCCGCGUGAGUGAUGAAGGUCUUCGGAUCUAAAACUCGUUAUUAGGGAAGAACAUAUGUGUAAGUAACUGUGCACAUCUUGACGGUACCUAAUCAGAAAGCACGCUAACUACGUGCCAGCAGCCGCGGUAAUACGUAGGUGGCAAGCGUUAUCCGGAAUUAUUGGGCUAAAGCGCGCGUAGGCGGUUUUUUAAGUCUGAUGUGAAAGCCCACGCUCAACCGUGGAGGGUCAUUGGAACUGGAAAACUUGAGUGCAGAAGAGGAAGUGGAAUUCCAUGUGUAGCGGUGAAAUGCGCAGAGAUUGGAGGAACACCAGUGGCGAAGGCGACUUCUGGUCUGUAACUGACGCUGAUGUGCGAAAGCGUGGGGAUCAAACAGAUUAGAUACCCUGGUAGUCCACGCCGUAAACGAUGAGUGCUAAGUGUUAGGGGGUUUCCGCCCCUUAGCUGCAGCUAACGCAUUAACACUCCGCCUGGGGAGUACGACCGCAAGGUUGAAACUCAAAGGAAUUGCGGGGACCCGCACAAGCGGUGGAGCAUGUGGUUAAUUCGAAGCAACGCGAAGAACUUACCAAAUCUUGACAUCCUUUGACAACUCUAGAGAUAGAGCCUUCCCCUUCGGGGGACAAAGUGACAUGGUGCAUGGUUGUUCAGCUCGUGUCGUGAGAUGUUGGGUUAAGUCCCGCAACGAGCGCAACCCUUAAGCUUAGUUGCCAUCUAAGUUGGGCACUCUAAGUUGACUGCCGGUGACAAACCGGAGGAAGGUGGGGAUGACGUCAAAUCAUCAUGCCCCUUAUGAUUUGCUAC